UCUGUCGUUCGGCGGCCAUAGCAGCCACCCGACGCCCUCUGGCCGCAUCUCCACUGGCUAUGCCUCCCUCCAACACCGUCGCUUCCUCUCUCUUUCUUUCUCUUUAUCUCUCAAUUAAAAGUCCUAUUGGACAAUACCAAGCCACGGAGGCCUCCGCAGCCCUUCAACGGCCUCAGUGGGCCAUCGCCAGUCUCCGACAGUGUCGUGCCCUAUCUUCGUCCCCUCCUCUCUCUCUCUUUCCCUCUCCCUCCUCCAGUGUGCCAUUUUCCUCGGCCGAACCAUCCCGAUUUGCCACCGGGACGGUUCGGAAUGCCCUGAACCGUCUGGUUCGAGAUGGUUCGGUGAACCUUGCAUCAGAUACUUGGACACUUAUUGAUUUCUUUAAUUGUGGCUUAAAAAAAUUGUAAGGAAUUGGACUCCGACAAUAAGUUUGACCAACUACAAUAAGCUUAGAUGUGAAAAUUUGUUCCUUCAAGA
RNAcentral lists this long non-coding RNA (477 nucleotides) under Elaeis guineensis (African oil palm). Its description in RNAcentral is "long non-coding RNA (EGUI_LNC080717)". Lineage: Eukaryota; Viridiplantae; Streptophyta; Magnoliopsida; Arecales; Arecaceae. The record is from RNAcentral.